GAUGAAUGCUGGCGGCGUGCCUAAUACAUGCAAGUCGAGCGGUAAGGCCCUUCGGGUACACGAGCGGCGGACGGCUGAGUAACGCGUGGGAACAUGCCCCAAAGUGAGGGAUAACGCACCGAAAGGUGUGCUAAUACCGCAUAUGGUCUUCGGAUUAAACGGAUUUAUCCGCUUUGGGAGUGGCCCGCGUACGAUUAGAUUGUUGGUGAGGUAACGGCUCACCAAGUCGACGAUCGUUAACUGGUCUGAGAGGAUGAUCAGUCAGACUGGAACUGAGACACGGUCCAGACUCCUACGGGAGGCAGCAGUAAGGAAUCUUCCACAAUGGGCGAAAGCCUGAUGGAGCAACGCCGCGUGCAGGAUGA
Molecule: ribosomal RNA, 365 nt
Filed under: uncultured bacterium
Lineage: Bacteria
Description: bacterial SSU rRNA
Rfam family: Bacterial small subunit ribosomal RNA
Source: RNAcentral